RNAcentral lists this unclassified non-coding RNA (372 nucleotides) under soil metagenome. Its description in RNAcentral is "partial contains 5.8S ribosomal RNA, internal transcribed spacer 2, and large subunit ribosomal RNA". The stretch from base 1 to 120 matches the Rfam family "5.8S ribosomal RNA", at positions 35 to 154 of the family's 154-position model. The record is from RNAcentral.
GAUGAAGAACGCAGCGAAAUGCGAUAAGUAAUGUGAAUUGCAGAAUUCAGUGAAUCAUCGAAUCUUUGAACGCAUCUUGCGCCCUUUGGUAUUCCGAAGGGCAUGCCUGUUCGAGCGUCAUUAUCACCCCUCAAGCCCUCGGCUUGGUGUUGGACGGUUUGGUGGAGGCCCCCUCGGGGGCUCCUGCCCCUCCCAAAGACAAUGACGGCGGCCUCGUUGGACCCCCGGUACACUGAGUUCUUCACGGGACACGUAUCGGACACAUGGGUUUACGGGACACGGUCUGCCUCCCCUCAGGGAGAAUCUUUCUAAGGUUGACCUCGGAUCAGGUAGGGAUACCCGCUGAACUUAAGCAUAUCAAUAAGCGGAGGA